AUGUGAAAAAGGAACUGUCGAAUGCUUAUAAAACUGUCAGAUCUUGGUGUGAACUCUCUCACUAUUACAAGACAGCAUGGGAGGAACCACCCUCAUGAUCCAAUCACCUCCCACCAAGUCCUUCCUUCGACACAUGGGGAUUAUGGGGAUUACAAUUUGAGAUGAGAUUUGGUUGGGGACACAGAGUCAAACUAUAUCAAAGAAAGUGCACCAUGAUCAAGAGGGCUUCAUCCCUGGGAUGCAAGGCUGGUUCAACAUAUGCAAAUCAAUAAACGUAAUCCAGCAUAUAAACAGAACCAACGACAAAAACCAUACGAUUAUCUCAAUGGAUGCAGAAAAGGCCUUUGACAAAAUUCAACAACCCUUCAUGCUAAAAACUCUCAAUAAAUUAAACUUUAGCUAAAGGCUGUGGUAAAGUGGAAAAGGAAAAAUAUAUUAAGAAAGCAGAAGAUUUAAGACCCCACUGACUCUCAAACCAAAACAAAGCCCAUCGUUGCAAACUUACAGAAGCCAGUUUGGUUAUGCACACUUAGAUUUCUAGUGGUCACCAAAAAGGUUGAAAUGGUGUCAAGAAUAAACAAAGCCGGAUGCUAAAGAGGUAAGGACAGAUUUUCAUCAGUAAUGUACUAUUGCAAUAAGGAAACAUGUUCUGUAUAAACUGAACUCAGCUUCAAUUUGGAGGGAGGUGACUGUUGUUUUAAAGGGAGAAUGAGAGAGUAGGGAGGGGGCAGGUAUUAGAGUCAGGGAAGUAAAAAAUUACAAAAAAAACAGAAACAGGGAAUUGGUUCAUGUAAAAUCCACAC
This 803-nucleotide long non-coding RNA is filed under the name Homo sapiens (human). RNAcentral's name for it is "non-protein coding lnc-USP16-10:1". The record is from RNAcentral. Lineage: Eukaryota; Metazoa; Chordata; Mammalia; Primates; Hominidae.